ACGGCCACUUUACGUUGAAAUACCGGUUCCUGUAGUACCACCGAAGUUAAGUAACGUCGAGCCUAGUCAGUAACUAGCUGGAUGACCGCUUGGGAAUACCAGGUGCUGUAAG
Non-coding RNA from Acanthosepion pharaonis, 112 nucleotides. The record is from the annotation of a GenBank genome assembly. NCBI's taxonomy places the organism in Eukaryota, Metazoa, Mollusca, Cephalopoda, Sepiida, Sepiidae.